CCUACGGGGGGCAGCAGUGGGGAAUAUUGGACAAUGGGCGAAAGCCUGAUCCAGCCAUGCCGCGUGUGUGAAGAAGGCCUUCGGGUUGUAAAGCACUUUCAGUGGGGAAGAAAGCCUUGGGGCUAAUACCCUCGAGGAAGGACAUCACCCACAGAAGAAGCACCGGCUAACUCCGUGCCAGCAGCCGCGGUAAUACGGAGGGUGCGAGCGUUAAUCGGAAUUACUGGGCGUAAAGCGCGCGUAGGCGGUCUGAUAAGCCGGUUGUGAAAGCCCCGGGCUCAACCUGGGAACGGCAUCCGGAACUGUCAGGCUAGAGUGCAGGAGAGGAAGGCAGAAUUCCCGGUGUAGCGGUGAAAUGCGUAGAGAUCGGGAGGAAUACCAGUGGCGAAGGCGGCCUUCUGGACUGACACUGACGCUGAGGUGCGAAAGCGUGGGUAGCAAACAGGAUUACAUACCCCAGUAGUC
RNAcentral lists this ribosomal RNA (465 nucleotides) under Vreelandella stevensii. RNAcentral describes it as "partial 16S ribosomal RNA". It matches the Rfam family "Bacterial small subunit ribosomal RNA", at positions 338 to 795 of the family's 1533-position model. The record is from RNAcentral. Lineage: Bacteria; Pseudomonadati; Pseudomonadota; Gammaproteobacteria; Oceanospirillales; Halomonadaceae.